ACACAUGCAGUCGAGGGGCAUCACGGGAAAGCUUGCUUUUCCGCCGGCGACCGGCGCACGGGUGCGGAACGCGUAUGGAACCUGCCCCUGUCAGGGGAAUAGCCCAGGGAAACUUGGAUUAAUGCCCCAUGGUACCGCGAUAUCGCAUGAUAUUGCGGUUAAAGAUUUAUCGGACAGGGAUGGCCAUGCGUACCAUUAGUUAGUUGGUGGGGUAACGGCCCACCAAGGCAGCGAUGGUUAGGGGCCCUGAGAGGGGGAUCCCCCACACUGGUACUGAGACACGGACCAGACUCCUACGGGAGGCAGCAGUGAGGAAUAUUGGACAAUGGGCGGGAGCCUGAUCCAGCCAUGCCGCGUGCAGGAUGACGGCCCUAUGGGUUGUAAACUGCUUUUAUACGGGAAGAAAUGCGCCCACGUGUGGGCGUCUGACGGUACCGUAAGAAUAAGGACCGGCUAACUCCGUGCCAGCAGCCGCGGUAAUACGGAGGGUCCGAGCGUUAUCCGGAAUCAUUGGGUUUAAAGGGUCCGUAGGCGGGCCUGUAAGUCAGGGGUGAAAGUUUGUGGCUCAACCAUAAAAUUGCCUUUGAUACUGCAGGUCUUGAGUCAUGGUGGGGUCGCCGGAACAUGUGGUGUAGCGGUGAAAUGCAUAGAUAUCACAUAGAACACCGAUCGCGAAGGCAGGUGGCCAACCAUGUACUGACGCUGAUGGACGAAAGCGUGGGUAGCGAACGGGAUUAGAUACCCCGGUAGUCCACGCCGUAAACGAUGGAUACUAGCUGUGGGGACUUCGGUCUCCGUGG
RNAcentral lists this ribosomal RNA (800 nucleotides) under Allomuricauda sp. Its description in RNAcentral is "bacterial SSU rRNA". It matches the Rfam family "Bacterial small subunit ribosomal RNA", at positions 51 to 846 of the family's 1533-position model. Lineage: Bacteria; Pseudomonadati; Bacteroidota; Flavobacteriia; Flavobacteriales; Flavobacteriaceae. The record is from RNAcentral.